RNAcentral lists this transfer RNA (74 nucleotides) under Treponema sp. Its description in RNAcentral is "tRNA-Ile". It matches the Rfam family "tRNA". From Rfam's summary of the family: Transfer RNA (tRNA) molecules are approximately 80 nucleotides in length. Lineage: Bacteria; Pseudomonadati; Spirochaetota; Spirochaetia; Treponematales; Treponemataceae. The record is from RNAcentral.
GGGCUUUUAGCUCAGUUGGUUAGAGCAGCGGACUCAUAAUCCGUAGGUCCGGGGUUCAAGUCCCUGAAGGCCCA